CUACGAGAGGCAGCAGUGAGGAAUUUUGCGCAAUGGGCGAAAGCCUGACGCAGCAACGCCGCGUGAGUGAUGAAGGCCUUCGGGUCGUAAAGCUCUGUCAAGUGGGAAGAACCUAUGUAAUGUUAAUAUCAUUAUAUACUGACGGUACCACUGAAGGAAGCACCGGCUAACUCCGUGCCAGCAGCCGCGGUAAUACGGGGGGUGCAAGUGUUAUUCGGAAUCAUUGGGCGUAAAGGGCACGUAGGCGGCCUGGUAAGUCAGAUGUGAAAGCCCGGGGCUUAACCCCGGAAGUGCAUUUGAUACUGUCAGGCUUGAGUAUGGGAGAGGGAAGUGGAAUUCCUGGUGUAGAGGUGAAAUUCGUAGAUAUCAGGAGGAACACCGGUGGCGAAGGCGACUUCCUGGACCAAUACUGACGCUGAGGUGCGAAGGCGUGGGUAGCAAACAGGAUUAGAUACCCUAGUAGUC
This 465-nucleotide ribosomal RNA is filed under the name uncultured bacterium. RNAcentral describes it as "partial 16S ribosomal RNA". It matches the Rfam family "Bacterial small subunit ribosomal RNA", at positions 339 to 795 of the family's 1533-position model. The record is from RNAcentral.